UCAUUCACAGAAAUGAGAACCAGAGCCAUAACAGACGUCAAGUUUGACGAUCUCAAUAUUUUUAACAACCGUUAUUUUUGAGCAAAGAGGGACAAAUGACUGAUACUUGGCACCGCAAACACAGCAUCUUAACACAGCUUGAGAUUCAGAAGAACGCAGAGGUCAUCUCGCUUCAUCGGACUAAAGGCCCGUCUCGUCCGGUUUUCUGUUUUGGGCAGUGGCCGGUAUGAGUUGUUUCAGAAAAAAGCAGAAGAAACACCGAAUACACUGAUCCAAAUUUAUCACAAGGGAAAUUUCAUUGACUUCACUGGAUUUCUAGGAUAGAUGAACAUCCCGUAUCUACCUGGGUUCUUCUGUAUCCUGGGAAAUGAUGUAGUUCUUGGUGCUGUAGGUGAGUGAAUUCCGGUGUAUCUAAAACACCGGUCCAGAUCCUUGGCUGUUGU
Molecule: long non-coding RNA, 443 nt
Organism: Alligator sinensis (Chinese alligator)
Lineage: Eukaryota; Metazoa; Chordata; Crocodylia; Alligatoridae
Exons: 3
Source: RefSeq, a predicted model, not a curated record